AGCAGCCGCGGUAAUUCCAGCUCCAAUAGCGUAUAUUAAAGUUGUUGCAGUUAAAAAGCUCGUAGUUGAAUUUCGGGGUCAAUAAGUUGGUCGUGCCAAUGGUAUGUACUGGCUUUAUUGAUUCCUACCUCUUGACGAACUGUGAUGCCAUUGAUUUGGUGUUGCAGGAAAUCAGGACUGUUACCUUGAAAAAAUUAGAGUGUUUAAAGCAGGCUUACGCUUGAAUACAUUAGCAUGGAAUAAUGAAAUAGGACGUUUGAACCUAUUUUGUUGGUUUCUAGGAUCGACGUAAUGAUUAAUAGGGAUAGUUGGGGGCAUUAGUAUUCAAUUGUCAGAGGUGAAAUUCUUGGAUUUAUGGAAGACUAACUACUGCGAAAGCAUUUGCCAAGGAUGUUUUCAUUAAUCAAGAACGAAAGUUAGGGGAUCGAAGACGAUCAGAUACCGUCGUAG
Molecule: ribosomal RNA, 450 nt
Filed under: uncultured Glomeromycotina
Lineage: Eukaryota; Fungi; Glomeromycota
Description: SSU rRNA
Rfam family: Eukaryotic small subunit ribosomal RNA
Source: RNAcentral